UGUGUAGGUGGUUAGGCAAGUUAGAUGUGAAAGCCUACGGCUCAACCGUAGAACUGCAUUUAAAACUGCUUAACUUGAGGACAUGAGAGGAAAGGGGAAUUCUUGGUGUAAGGGUGAAAUCUGUAGAUAUCAAGAGGAACACCAGCGGCGAAGGCGCCUUUCUGGCAUGUAUCUGACACUGAGACACGAAAGCAUGGGGAGCAAACAGGAUUAGAUACCCUGGUAGUCC
Molecule: ribosomal RNA, 229 nt
Filed under: uncultured bacterium
Lineage: Bacteria
Description: partial 16S ribosomal RNA
Rfam family: Bacterial small subunit ribosomal RNA
Source: RNAcentral